AGAGUUUGAUCCUGGCUCAGGAUGAACGCUAGCUACAGGCUUAACACAUGCAAGUCGAGGGGAAACGAUAGAGAAAGCUUGCUUUUUCUAGGCGUCGACCGGCGCACGGGUGAGUAACGCGUAUCCAACCUGCCCACCACUUGGGGAUAACCUUGCGAAAGUAAGACUAAUACCCAAUGAUAUCUCUAGAAGACAUCUGAAAGAGAUUAAAGAUUUAUCGGUGAUGGAUGGGGAUGCGUCUGAUUAGCUUGUUGGCGGGGUAACGGCCCACCAAGGCGACGAUCAGUAGGGGUUCUGAGAGGAAGGUCCCCCACAUUGGAACUGAGACACGGUCCAAACUCCUACGGGAGGCAGCAGUGAGGAAUAUUGGUCAAUGGACGCAAGUCUGAACCAGCCAAGUAGCGUGCAGGAAGACGGCCCUCUGGGUUGUAAACUGCUUUUAGUUGGGAAUAAAGUGCACCACGAGUGGUGUUUUGUAUGUACCAUCAGAAAAAGGACCGGCUAAUUCCGUGCCAGCAGCCGCGGUAAUACGGAAGGUCCAGGCGUUAUCCGGAUUUAUUGGGUUUAAAGGGAGCGUAGGCCGGAGAUUAAGCGUGUUGUGAAAUGUAGAUGCUCAACAUCUGCACUGCAGCGCGAACUGGUUUCCUUGAGUACGCACAAAGUGGGCGGAAUUCGUGGUGUAGCGGUGAAAUGCUUAGAUAUCACGAAGAACUCCGAUUGCGAAGGCAGCUCACUGGAGCGCAACUGACGCUGAAGCUCGAAAGUGCGGGUAUCGAACAGGAUUAGAUACCCUGGUAGUCCGCACGGUAAACGAUGGAUGCCCGCUGUUGGUCUGAAUAGGUCAGCGGCCAAGCGAAAGCAUUAAGCAUCCCACCUGGGGAGUACGCCGGCAACGGUGAAACUCAAAGGAAUUGACGG
This 918-nucleotide ribosomal RNA is filed under the name uncultured bacterium. Its description in RNAcentral is "bacterial SSU rRNA". It matches the Rfam family "Bacterial small subunit ribosomal RNA", at positions 8 to 916 of the family's 1533-position model. The record is from RNAcentral.